Molecule: ribosomal RNA, 413 nt
Filed under: uncultured bacterium
Lineage: Bacteria
Description: bacterial SSU rRNA
Rfam family: Bacterial small subunit ribosomal RNA
Source: RNAcentral
GAGUUUGAUCGUGGCUCAGAUUGAACGCUGGCGGCAGGCCUAACACAUGCAAGUCGAACGGUAACAGGAAGAAGCUUGCUUCUUUGCUGACGAGUGGCGGACGGGUGAGUAAUGUCUGGGAAACUGCCUGAUGGAGGGGGAUAACUACUGGAAACGGUAGCUAAUACCGCAUAACGUCGCAAGACCAAAGAGGGGGACCUUCGGGCCUCUUGCCAUCGGAUGUGCCCAGAUGGGAUUAGCUAGUAGGUGGGGUAACGGCUCACCUAGGCGACGAUCCCUAGCUGGUCUGAGAGGAUGACCAGCCACACUGGAACUGAGACACGGUCCAGACUCCUACGGGAGGCAGCAGUGGGGAAUAUUGCACAAUGGGCGCAAGCCUGAUGCAGCCAUGCCGCGUGUAUGAAGAAGGCCUU